Molecule: small nuclear RNA, 107 nt
Organism: Sorex fumeus (smoky shrew)
Lineage: Eukaryota; Metazoa; Chordata; Mammalia; Eulipotyphla; Soricidae
Source: RefSeq, a predicted model, not a curated record
GUGGUCACUUCAGCAGCACAUAGACUAAAAUUGGAACGAUACAGAGAUCAUAAGCAUGUCUCCUACUCAAGGAUGACAUGCAAGUUCGUGAAACUUUCUCUAUAUUA